AGCAGCCGCCGCGGUAAUACGUAGGUGGCAAGCGUUGUCCGGAAUUAUUGGGCGUAAAGGGCUCGCAGGCGGUUUCUUAAGUCUGAUGUGAAAGCCCCCGGCUCAACCGGGGAGGGUCAUUGGAAACUAGGAAACUUGAGCGCAGAAGAGGAGAGUGGAAUUCCACGUGUAGCGGUGAAAUGCGUAGAGAUGUGGAGGAACACCAGUGGCGAAGGCGACUCUCUGGUCUGUAACUGACGCUGAGGAGCGAAAGCGUGGGGAGCGAACAGGAUUAGAUACCCCUGUAGUCCCUGUCUCUUAUAC
This 303-nucleotide ribosomal RNA is filed under the name uncultured bacterium. RNAcentral's name for it is "partial 16S ribosomal RNA". It matches the Rfam family "Bacterial small subunit ribosomal RNA", at positions 507 to 807 of the family's 1533-position model. The record is from RNAcentral.